GCAGUAGGGGUCUAGUGGUUAGGACUCUUGUCCUUCAAACACCAAGUCGGUGGUUCGAAUUCCACUUAACUUCA
Molecule: transfer RNA, 74 nt
Filed under: Schistosoma japonicum
Lineage: Eukaryota; Metazoa; Platyhelminthes; Trematoda; Strigeidida; Schistosomatidae
Description: tRNA-Glu
Source: RNAcentral